CGUGAAUUUUUAGACAAGAGCAUCCAUAACACAAAAGAAAGAAAAGAAGAAUAGAGAAGAAAAGAAAGGAAGAGAAAAAUAGUGGCGAGAAUCAGGAUAGAGGAGUUAGUCAGGAAGCAAAGCAUGCAGCUUCCCUCCUUUUCUUAAUCCACCCCAGAUUCUACCAUUUCAGGACAGGGUGCAGAGACAGAAGACAUCAAGAUCUGAGCACUGGGGGAUGCCCACUGAAAGGAGAGAGGAAGACGAGGACCAGUGAAGACAAAGCAGGAAUGAUCAGAGAGUAACACAGACAUAGAAAUCAGUGGCAUAAGGCAAGUGAUUCAUUUUGUGGGGAAAAAAUGCUCGUUUUCUUAAGGCAUGUAUACUGGUUUUCAAGGUGGAGAUUUUUUAGGUUGUGG
Molecule: long non-coding RNA, 398 nt
Organism: Mauremys reevesii (Reeves's turtle)
Lineage: Eukaryota; Metazoa; Chordata; Testudines; Geoemydidae
Exons: 5
Source: RefSeq, a predicted model, not a curated record